Small nuclear RNA from Bombyx mandarina (wild silkworm), 156 nucleotides. The record is from RefSeq and is a predicted model, not a curated record. NCBI's taxonomy places the organism in Eukaryota, Metazoa, Arthropoda, Insecta, Lepidoptera, Bombycidae.
AUACCUACCUGGCGUCGGGAUACCGUGAUCAUGCAGGCGGUUCCCCGGGGUACAGCUGUUUCAUUGCACUGCGGAGUGGUUUUUUACCCUUGCGAUUAUUUUUAUACUUUAUAAGUUUCACUUCUACCGUGUGUGACUUGCACAUGCACACACACA